UCUGCCCUGAAGUUCGGGACAACCUGCCGAAAGGUGAGCUAAUACCGAAUGUGAUUAUUUGCAGGCAUCUGUAAAACAUCAAAGCUGGGGAUCGUAAGACCUGGCGCUUCAGGAUGGGCCCGCGGCCUAUCAGCUAGUUGGUGAGGUAAUGGCUCACCAAGGCUAAGACGGGUAGCCGGUCUGAGAGGACGAUCGGCCACACUGGAACUGAGACACGGUCCAG
Molecule: ribosomal RNA, 223 nt
Filed under: uncultured bacterium
Lineage: Bacteria
Description: partial 16S ribosomal RNA
Rfam family: Bacterial small subunit ribosomal RNA
Source: RNAcentral